RNAcentral lists this ribosomal RNA (497 nucleotides) under uncultured bacterium. RNAcentral's name for it is "partial 16S ribosomal RNA". It matches the Rfam family "Bacterial small subunit ribosomal RNA", at positions 28 to 507 of the family's 1533-position model. The record is from RNAcentral.
GAUGAACGCUGGCGGCGUGCCUAAUACAUGCAAGUCGAGCGAACAGAUGAGGAGCUUGCUCCUCUGACGUUAGCGGCGGACGGGUGAGUAACACGUGGAUAACCUACCUAUAAGACUGGGAUAACUUCGGGAAACCGGAGCUAAUACCGGAUAAUAUAUUGAACCGCAUGGUUCAAUAGUGAAAGACGGUCUUGCUGUCACUUAUAGAUGGAUCCGCGCCGCAUUAGCUAGUUGGUAAGGUAACGGCUUACCAAGGCAACGAUGCGUAGCCGACCUGAGAGGGUGAUUGGCCACACUGGAACUGAGACACGGUCCAGACUCCUACGGGAGGCAGCAGUAGGGAAUCUUCCGCAAUGGGCGAAAGCCUGACGGAGCAACGCCGCGUGAGUGAUGAAGGUCUUCGGAUCGUAAAACUCUGUUAUUAGGGAAGAACAAAUGUGUAAGUAACUAUGCACGUCUUGACGGUACCUAAUCAGAAAGCCACGGCUAACUACGUG